Molecule: long non-coding RNA, 2889 nt
Organism: Brienomyrus brachyistius
Lineage: Eukaryota; Metazoa; Chordata; Actinopteri; Osteoglossiformes; Mormyridae
Exons: 2
Source: RefSeq, a predicted model, not a curated record
CCCCCCCCCCCAAUCCUCCCUUGCUGCGCCCUAGUCUGCAAAAAAAAAGCGCACAAGUUUGCAAAACCAACCGCGAGGGGACGGAGGCCGCAAUGCAUCUGCGCGAACAAAAGACGCAUCGCGACUUACCAGCAAAACCAGUACGAGUGGUGCAUGGAGGUACCAGUUAUUCACCAAGGUCGCGGAGAUCCAGAGCCUAUCCCGGAAGUUAUGGAUGUAAGGCAGAGAAAAACCCAGGAUGGGGCGCCAACCUAUUACAGGGCACACAUUCACACUCAUGGACAAUUUGGUAACUACAAAGUAACUGAAGAAUAAUUGUGUUACAUAAUGAUUUGAACAUACAUUUCGAUAAUAACAGCGGGGAUCACUCUAAAACCGGAAAUGGGAUUUACAUCAUGGGCCAAUGAUACCACAACUUCCUGCAAAGUGCAAAACAGCUUCAGUUGUUCUGGUUUGCAUGGACUGAAAUUAAUGUUGCGAUUCCUUUCAUAACCAUAACUAACCUUCAAACACGGCUUUUGACGUGACUAAAGUGCUGGACAAUAUAAGUAGUAGCUUGCCGCAGACUUUGUACUUUUUAACUAGCACUUAAGUUUUAACAUUUUAUAUAAAUGCCUUUACCUGAUAAGGGCAGGCAGACAAUCGCCCAAUUUACAGAGACAUUAUGUGACAAGAAAAUUAUUUUAUCCUAGCAUAUUAAUACAAUAUUAUACAGUCAAAUAGUAUGUAUCGCUAACAAAGACUGAUUGACAUACACACCUGUUACUAUGGGUAUGGAAGACAAACAGCAAUGCAUUUUUGAGAACAAUACUGAGGGAUGUGACAUUGCAGGUUGGAUGACGGCAAAGCAAAUUUACCUCUGUUCUAAAUAAAGGAGGAGGGACCUUUGCGAUUGUAUUGAGAGGCUAUAUUCCAGAAAAGGAAAAACACCUGUAUUUCAGUCAGUGUGGCACUAUUGCGCAAAACAAUAGUGAGUGUCUGCCACCUAGUGGCACACUUGUAUAAUUACACCCUGAAUAUAUCGUACCUCGAAGCAUUAAGAUGGUGCUACGCCGUAUUACUCUCGAGCUCCAUUCAAUGCCAGUAGGUUGUAGCAGAAGGCAGAGUGGAAGCUUACGCUGUAAACCUUACUUUGAGAAACACACGCAAGUUCACCUGUAAGUCAUCUGUAUCUCAGUUGAUACAUUUACCUGUUUGUAGUGUGCAGACAUAUUUCACACACACUGGUAUGGGAUAUAACACUAGUUGUCCCUACAUGAUCACCUUCUACAUCUGUUCUCCAUUUUUUCUUGAUCACGGGCAGGAAAAUAAUCCACAAAUAGCAUCCAGAAGGGGCAUUAAACAAAAUAUAAUUUAAAAGAGGGCCAGAGUGGACAUAUGACAUCAUUGUAAAUUUCUAAGAAAGUAAUACUUGACUAAUAAACUCAUCCAGUCGCUAUACUGCUCAUUUGAAAAAGCAAUUCCUCAUUCCACCAGCUGACCACAUUGAAUUAUUAACUACAUUCAGCUUAUUGGACACAGGCAGAUCUGAUUGCAGGCAGCCCUCUUGGAUCCAGACCUCACCAUAUAUUGACCCAAGAGUGUUACAGGGCGUGUGCAAGCUCGCAUACUUACUCAGCACGUACUGAAUUUUGUUAGACACCUACUACUCAACCAUCAAUACAGUAUGUACUAUAUGUACGCAUGAGAACAGAAUGGAUAUAUUUAGACAGACUGCAGUUGCCAUCUCAUACAUCACCUGGCCCAGACUUUUACCAAAGACGUAGCUUGUCCCCCAGGAGAGUUUAAAAUGGUCAAAAACUAUGGAAAAAUUACAUAUUCAAAUCAACUUAUGUAACAGGGUAUUGUUUUCUACUUAAAUACUGCAUGUACAGAGAUGAUACUUUACCAUCUUGACAAAAAUUUCUAAUCUAGUGACACUUAUCACUGCUCCUGCGGCCCUGUGGGGCAGCGUAGCAUCUAUUGGUUGCACAGAAUGUAAUAUAUCAUCCAGGUACCGUCCGGCUAUUGUCUCCUCCAUACUGAGGACCAGGCAGAAUGUAGUACGCCGCCCGGGUACCGUCCGCCUACCGGCUCAUCCAUACUGAGUAUUUGGACAUUCUGCUCACUUUACAUACUAUAUUUCACCCACUAUGUAGUAAACAAGUAUGCAAUUUCAGAUGUACCCACAGUCACCGCAAGGUUUCUGUAAGAACGCUAUGCCAAAAUCUAGGAAAAUUCCAAAAGAGAUGAGGGGGAAAAUUCCUGCAGCUUCCCAGUCAGAAAAAGGGCCAUUUUAAGGUGCCACAGUGCGAGGUAUAAUUCCCAAGCAGAGAACAACUGAAACAGUGGUGAAUCUUCCCAGGAAAGGCUGCCCUGCCAAAAUGUGUACAGUAACAACUCAAUCAAGAAGUCCUGAAAGAUCUCAGCAGAAUAUUUAAAGAACUGCAGGCUCCUCUGGCCUUAGCUAAGGUCAGUGUUUAUGACUUCACAAUCUGAGAGAGACUCAGAAAAAUGGGAUUCGUGGGAGGGCAGUAAGUUGGGAUUCAUCAGCGGCCUGGUGAAAAAAGCCCACCACAGGCUGCUUCUCAUAGGCACGCUGAAACGAGCCAAAUCACUCCUGCUGCACCACGGAGGGCGUCCGGUCCCUCUGCGCAACUGUGUGGCAUGCCAGCCAUCCGGCUGGGAAACGGCGUGAUUUAUGGUGAGCGGAUAAAGCGGCACAGUGGGUCAUAGGGACUGAUCCCAAAACAUCCCAGAAGCAACUACUUCUGCAAAGGAGAGUGGGCGAAAAUCCUUCAACAGCAGUGAUAGGCUGGACAGUCAAUUAUGGAAACUAUGAGGGGGGUAUUCCUUUUACGCUGGUGAUGGGCGUGUUGGGUAACCUUGAAUAAAGUGAUCAUUUAAAAA